Molecule: long non-coding RNA, 165 nt
Organism: Amblyraja radiata (thorny skate)
Lineage: Eukaryota; Metazoa; Chordata; Chondrichthyes; Rajiformes; Rajidae
Exons: 3
Source: RefSeq, a predicted model, not a curated record
UGUUUCCAUGCUUGAGUGUAUGUCAAUAAAACUCGACCAUUUGACUUUGAAGCAUUCAUGAAUGGUGGGGGUAUAAUGUAGUCAUAGAGUGAUACAGUGUGAAAACAGGCCCUUUGGUGGAACUUGCCCACACCCGCCAACAUGUCCCAGCUACACAACCUGCUU